RNAcentral lists this ribosomal RNA (634 nucleotides) under Paenibacillus xylanexedens. RNAcentral describes it as "bacterial SSU rRNA". It matches the Rfam family "Bacterial small subunit ribosomal RNA", at positions 100 to 719 of the family's 1533-position model. Lineage: Bacteria; Bacillati; Bacillota; Bacilli; Caryophanales; Paenibacillaceae. The record is from RNAcentral.
GGACGGGUGAGUAACACGUAGGCAACCUGCCCUCAAGUUUGGUUACCCCUACCGGAAACGGUAGCUAAUACCGAAUAAUUGUUUUCUUCGCCUGAAGGAAACUGGAAAGACGGAGCAAUCUGUCACUUGGGGAUGGGCCUGCGGCGCAUUAGCUAGUUGGUGAGGUAACGGCUCACCAAGGCGACGAUGCGUAGCCGACCUGAGAGGGUGAUCGGCCACACUGGGACUGAGACACGGCCCAGACUCCUACGGGAGGCAGCAGUAGGGAAUCUUCCGCAAUGGGCGAAAGCCUGACGGAGCAAUGCCGCGUGAGUGAUGAAGGUUUUCGGAUCGUAAAGCUCUGUUGCCAGGGAAGAACGCUUGGGAGAGUAACUGCUCUCAAGGUGACGGUACCUGAGAAGAAAGCCCCGGCUAACUACGUGCCAGCAGCCGCGGUAAUACGUAGGGGGCAAGCGUUGUCCGGAAUUAUUGGGCGUAAAGCGCGCGCAGGCGGUCAUUUAAGUCUGGUGUUUAAUCCCGGGGCUCAACCCCGGAUCGCACUGGAAACUGGGUGACUUGAGUGCAAAAGAAGAGAGUGGAAUUCCACGUGUAGCGGUGAAAAUGCGUAGAUAUGUGGAGGAACACCAGUGGCGAA